UCCGUACCAUAUUCUGCUCGUACAGAUCCAUCGUACAGGUCUUGAUGGAAAAGUACUAAGUCGUAUGCAGUACAUUUAAAUGUUUAAAUUUAGCAGUACACAACAGUAACCAGAUGAUUUAGCCUACUACUCGGGUGAACAUUUCCAGUAUUCAGCCAGACCUCACUUCAUGGAAAACUGCAUGCCAGAUGCAACGGGCGAUUGCCAACUUUCCAAAUGUUUCAAACAAACGUAGCAGCAGUUGCAACUCUUGCAGUCGCAGCAGUUGCUUCUCGCAACUUUAGCCCCAGCAACGAAUAUGAAUGGCCCUCAGGAAGAUCAGUCUCCUCUGGGCCAUCAUCAUCAUCAUCAUCAUCACCAUCCCAAGGGCCCACUCCCAUUACACACCUCACCUCUGCCAGGUGCCUGUUCCUGUCCUGCACAGCAUUCUGACCAGGCUCUCUACAUGAUGUCAUUAAACAGAUGGAGGACGUAAGGCAAGAAUAACCUCCAUCACCAAUGAUGUAGAAUAACCUCCAUCACCAAUGAUGUAGAAUAACCUCCAUCACCACCAAUGAUGUAGAAUAACCUCCAUCACCAAUGAUGUAGAAUAACCCCACCACCACCACCAGGGAGUCUGCUUCUUCUGGACAUAUUCUGUGCUCAACCUGGGGUCCCAGACAGCACAGACAGAGCCAGGCAGAUAUUUAAGAAGCCGUGUUUGUGGUCACAGAUGGCCUGCAGUUGAAUUGAGUGAACAAGAGUAUGUUGACGGAGGCAAAGCUCCAAGAGUAUGUUGACGGAGGCAAAGCUCCAAGCCACAUGGCGUAAGGCAGGAGUACCUGCCAGGUCGGGGGACCCCUUCUCUGAUGGCCUCUGGUUCAUCAUUAGAGGGAAGCUGUACUGCCUGUUAUGAAUGCUGAGAGCCCCCUCUGGGGUUAAUGAACAGCUCCCUCUGGGGUUGAUGAACAGCUCCCUCUGGGGUUGAUGAACAGCUCCCUCUGGGGUUGAUCAACAGCUCCCUCUUCAAAAUGUUUUAUAAGAUAUGUUUGAUAAUAGUAGAAGAACAUUUCAUCCUCGGGAAAAGAGUUAAAAGAUAUUUGUAAAUAACAUCUACAUAUGUUUAAUGGGCGUAAAUUAAAUGUUAUUUUUAUUAACUGGGGUAACGAUGUCUUUGUGCUUUUCAGGGCGGAUUUAAAACGUAUUUUCAGAUAUUUGUUAAUAUGUUAAAUAAAUUGAGGGAAAUGUA
This is a long non-coding RNA of Clupea harengus (Atlantic herring), 1228 nucleotides long. RefSeq lists it as uncharacterized. The record is from RefSeq and is a predicted model, not a curated record. Lineage: Eukaryota; Metazoa; Chordata; Actinopteri; Clupeiformes; Clupeidae. The transcript is spliced from 2 exons.